GUCACUGAGUGAAACUGAUUGGUCCAUAGACAGGGAUGGUUUGGGCAUAUAAUUCCAUUCACAUCUAAACCAGUCAUUUAAUUAAAUUACGGUGUCUUCGUUUUUAGAUGUAUUUUACAUAAAUAAAUUAAAUCGUGAUCUCAGUAUUUGAGCAUUAGAUGAAAAAAAAACUCAACAUUCGUAAUCAGAAGAGAGUCUAGUAAACUGAACAGCUUUGACAUAGCGUUGAAGCCGUUUAGAUAUCUGUGAGAAGGGCGGGUUACACAGGUUGACGUAGACAGGCAGGCGUCGCUGCAGAGAAUGUUUAAGUGACAUACCGCAAGGUUUAUGAACAACCGUUGGCCGGAAGUUUGUAUCCUCCAUUAAAAAAGAUAUUAUCUGGCGUAUAAUAGUUAAAAGUGUAAAAAGUGAAGUGCAAAUUGUUGGUUUCUUACUUCCUAACCUAAUUUAUUGUACGUUAUUUGAAAGCAAAAUGCUGAAGUUCAUCAGAGGGAAAGGCCAGCAGCCAUCAGCUGAAAGACAGAAGUUACAGAGAGAGCUAUUUGCUUUUAGAAAGACUAUACAGCAUGGUUUCCCAAACAAACCAACAUCACUUGCAUGGGAUCCAACCCUUCAUCUGUUGGCGCUGGGAACUGCUUCUGGAGCCAUUAAAGUUUUUGGCAAGCCCGGUGUUGAAUUCUAUGGACAACACACAAACCACGAGGCUGCAGUCACAAGGCUUGUGUUCAUACCAAAUGAGGGCCGCAUUGUGUCCCUGUGUGACGAUAACUCUCUCCACAUGUGGGAAAUAAAUGAAGGUUCCUUGGAAGAAGUCAAAGCUCAAGCAUUGGAAGGGAAGCUGAAGAGGAUUUCUGCAAUUGCUCUUGAAACUGCAGGUGAACAUCUGCUAUUGGGGACUGAGGGUGGAAAUAUUUACCUCCUUAAUCUGAAGACUUUCCAAAUGUCAGAUACAAUCAUAUAUCAAGAUAUUGUAAUGCAGAACGUUCCUGAAGAUUACAAGAUAAACCCUGGUGCUGUGGAAGCUAUUGCUGAACAGCCUGGAAAUCCUGACAAAAUUUUAAUUGGCUACAAUAGGGGGUUAAUGGUUUUAUGGAACAGAAAAACACCAGGAGCAGAACAGAAUUUCAUUAGUAACCAGCAACUGGAAAGCAUUUGUUGGCAUAAAUCAGGAACACGUUUUGCUUCAUCCCAUAAUGAUGGAAGCUAUGCAAUGUGGGACAUUUCUGUGGGUGAUAAAGCUGAAGACCCUGUCACUGUGUAUGGUCCCUUUCCAUGCAAAGCAGUUACAAAGUUCCUCUGGAGACGUGGAAGAAAUGAAGAUUAUAUUAUUUUUGCUGGAGGGAUGCCUCGAGCUAGUUAUAGUGACCGUCACACCGUCACAGUUCAGCAUGGGGAGAAGCAUGUUGUAUUUGACUUCACAUCCAAAGUUAUAGAUUUCUUCACAAUUGCUGCAGAUGAAGAGGAUACAGAGUAUGAUGAGCCUGAGACACUAAUAGUCCUCCUGGAAGAAGAAUUAGUUGCAAUUGAUUUGCUCUCGGAAGACUGGCGAAUGCUGCAAUUGCCAUAUCUUGUUUCACUUCAUGCAAGUGCUGUUACUUGUGCUCAGCAUAUUUCAAAUGUACCAGAAGAUCUUUGGGAAGCCAUUGUGGCUGCAGGAAAGCAGCAGACACUGGAACAUUAUUCUGAAAGGGAGUGGCCAGUUGAUGGUGGUCGUGUUCUCCAAAGUCAGGGAUCUGAGGAGACCUCAUCAACAGAAUUUAACAAAGAGCUGCUGUUAACAGGCCAUGAAGAUGGCACAGUGAGAUUUUGGAAUGCUGGUCAUGUUGCCCUCCAACCGCUUUACAAGUUUGCCUCGGCUCAGCUUUUCAGUAGUGAAGAAAUAGGUAGUGAAGCAAAUAAUGGGACAGUAGAUGAAGAAGAGGAGGAGGAGUGGCCACCGUUUCGGAAGGUUGGAACAUUUGAUCCCUACUCGGAUGAUCCUCGCUUGGCUGUGAAGAAGGUAGCACUGUGUCCAUUUUCUGGCACCCUUGCUGUGGCGGGAACGGCAGGAGCUGUAAUUGUAGCAAAAAUAGGAUCUGAUACAUUGGAAACAGAAGUCAAUGUGACUACAACCAAUAUUGUGCUGGAUCGUGAUGGAUUUGUCUGGAAAGGACACGACCAGUUGACUGCCCGUACUGGUGCCUUGUCUCUGGCACCAGGUUUCCAACCUUGUUCUGUGCUGCAACUGCAUCCUCCUGCGGCAGUUACAGCACUUGUAUUGCAGGCAGACUGGGGCCUUGUGGCUGCUGGAACUGCACACGGCUUGGCACUUUUUGAUUACAUACGCCACAAGGGUGUUCUUACGAAGUGUACUCUGAAUCCCAACGAUCUGUCUGGUGCCGGAGAUGCUCCAAUCUCAAGACGAAAAUCUUUCAAAAAGUCAUUACGUGAAUCCUUCAGACGCCUCAGGAAGGGACGAUCGACGAGACGCACUGAUAAACGAGGAGUUGCAUCACCGGUGCCAAAGAAAGAUGGUGGAGCAGAAGCAUCAACACCAUCCUCAGCACCACUCAGUCCUGUUGAAGCCAAACCAGUGGAACGUCAGGUCGAAGCAAGACCUGUUGACGAUUCUCUAGGAAGCAUGGUUCGGUGUUUAUAUUUUGCAAAGACCUUCAUCAUUAGCGUGCAGUCAGUAACAGCUACACUUUGGGCAGGGACAAACAAUGGUACAGUUUAUGUGUUUACCAUUGCUGUACCAGUGGGACAACGAAGAACAGAAGAAGACGUUACCUGUCAAUUGGGCAAAGAGAUUCAACUUAAACACAGAGCACCAGUGAUAAGUGUGGCUGUCUUAGAUGGCAUUAAUGUUCCACUGCCUGAACCAUUUGAAAUUGAGAAAGGACUUAAAAAACUGCCAGAUACUAGUGGACCUCACAGAGUUGUUAUUUGUUCUGAGGAGCAGUUCAAGAUAUUCACAUUGCCAAGCCUUAAGCCUUUCUGCAAAUUUAAACUUACUGCUCACGAAGGUUCCCGUGUGAGAAGAAUGAGCUUGGCACAUUUUGUAACUUCAAGGCCAGAUCGUGGUGCACAGUACUCAGAAUGGUGCAUAGUGAGUCUCACCAAUCUGGGGGACUGCAUAGUUCUCAGUGUUCCUGACUUAAGAAGGCAGCUCAAUGCCGCUGUUGUUCGACGAGAAGAUAUUAAUGGAAUAUCAAGUCUGACAUUCACACGGUACGGAGAAGCAUUUUAUUUACACUCCUCCAGCGAGCUUCAGAGGAUAACACUAUCCGCUUCAACACUGUUAUAUCCACGGUGCCGCAUUGAUUUGCCAGAAGGAGCCAGACAGAUACCAAAAGAGGAGGAGACGGAAGAGGAAGAAAUGGAAGUAGCAGAGGAAGAAGAAGCAGAAAAUGCAAGUCCAUCAGCUGCUGCUAGAGAUCACCCACCUGCAUCACAUACAGUGAAUGGAGAUGCUACUCACGAGGAGAACAAAGAUGUAGAACCAAAAUCAGAAGAUGGAGAAGAAGCAAAGGAAAAUGGUGCAGAAGAAGACAGAAAUGACAUCAGUGCCCUCAGUGUUGGUGAUAUCACUAUAGAUUCUGUCAAGGAUCAUUUGCUAGUUGAAAACGGAGAGGCUGGAGCUGAACUCCCGGACAACAGAGAUGCAGUCAGUUGUGAUGAAGACCACCAUCAUCAGCAGUAGUGAAACAACGGUCAUCAACUCUGCUGACAUAGCCGUUGUUGAGCCUUCUCUGGCCGAUGAGCAGCGUGCUACCAACACUCUUGAGAUUAAAUCACGCAAAGCCCCAUUAGCAAGAAUGGAAGAUUUAGAAGUGGAAAUUCCAGUUCAGUCUUAAGUGUC
This 3841-nucleotide unclassified non-coding RNA is filed under the name Schistocerca americana (American grasshopper). RNAcentral's name for it is "lethal(2) giant larvae protein homolog 1, transcript variant X2". Lineage: Eukaryota; Metazoa; Arthropoda; Insecta; Orthoptera; Acrididae. The record is from RNAcentral.